ACGGCGCCGUUCACCUUGAUAUCUACAUAAUCACCAAUCUUAUAGGUCCUAAGAUAUGUGGUCAAAGGAAUGUAACCCUUCUUCCUGAAGGGCCUAGAGAACAAAUCGCGAGUUCGAGAACGAAGACCAUGACCGGCCGGCAUUUUCACUCGCCCUCUGGCUCUUUGUGGUUCUAAGGUGUGGGGAAGGAUUAGAAGAGGAA
This 202-nucleotide unclassified non-coding RNA is filed under the name Hevea brasiliensis (rubber tree). The record is from RNAcentral. Lineage: Eukaryota; Viridiplantae; Streptophyta; Magnoliopsida; Malpighiales; Euphorbiaceae.